UGGGGAAUAUUGCACAAUGGGCGCAAGCCUGAUGCAGCCAUGCCGCGUGUAUGAAGAAGGCCUUCGGGUUGUAAAGUACUUUCAGCGGGGAGGAAGGGAGUAAAGUUAAUACCUUUGCUCAUUGACGUUACCCGCAGAAGAAGCACCGGCUAACUCCGUGCCAGCAGCCGCGGUAAUACGGAGGGUGCAAGCGUUAAUCGGAAUUACUGGGCGUAAAGCGCACGCAGGCGGUUUGUUAAGUCAGAUGUGAAAUCCCCGGGCUCAACCUGGGAACUGCAUCUGAUACUGGCAAGCUUGAGUCUCGUAGAGGGGGGUAGAAUUCCAGGUGUAGCGGUGAAAUGCGUAGAGAUCCGGAGGAAUACCGGUGGCGAAGGCGGCCCCCUGGACGAAGACUGACGCUCAGGUGCGAAAGCGUGGGGAGCAAACAGG
RNAcentral lists this ribosomal RNA (429 nucleotides) under Chloroflexota bacterium. Its description in RNAcentral is "Chloroflexi bacterium partial 16S ribosomal RNA". It matches the Rfam family "Bacterial small subunit ribosomal RNA", at positions 355 to 776 of the family's 1533-position model. Lineage: Bacteria; Bacillati; Chloroflexota. The record is from RNAcentral.